Long non-coding RNA from Cicer arietinum (chickpea), 723 nucleotides. RefSeq lists it as uncharacterized. NCBI's taxonomy places the organism in Eukaryota, Viridiplantae, Streptophyta, Magnoliopsida, Fabales, Fabaceae. The record is from RefSeq and is a predicted model, not a curated record.
UUUAUUGAUAACUAGUCAUCGUCUUCUUCAUUGAGCAGCGUUAGGGUUUGCAGAGUUGUUCUUUCCCUCCAUCUCCCAUCGUAGUGUCAUUAUUUUCUGCUAAAACACCUCACACUUUUGCAAUUCACCUCGUAGAUUCGUUUUUGCAACUCACCAAAUUUACCGUACCGUGCUGGGCCUCGUUGCGAACCUUUUUCAUUCUAACUAAAUUGGAACUUAUGGGUCACGAAGAAGAGAAUAAUAGUAGCAGUGUGAAGAAAAUAAUUUCACCAUGCGAUGUUGAGGCUUUAAAAAAGUGUUUGGAAGAGAACAAGGGUGACUAUGUUAAAUGCCAGUCACAAAUUGAGGCUUUUAAAUCAUCAUGCUCACUCAAGAAACCAAAUCAUUCUCCUGAAGGGAAAUAAAAAUUUAUGAAAUUUGAGCCUCUUUAAAGGUAUUAUAAAGUUGUAUUAAUUUGUAACAAAAUGAAAUGUUCUCGAGUUGUAGCUUUUUAAGGAUAAUAAAUUUUACGAAAGAGUUUCGAUGAUACUAGUGAUUGUUAACGGUUAAGAAUGAGAGUCAACACUAUGCUGAAGAGUAGUGAUGUUUUUGCCACAAUUUUGUAUGGAGUUUCCCGCUGAUUUACUCUGUCUAGGUUUGUGUCCGUGCAAUGAAAUUAUGAUAUUUCCUGUGUUUAUCUAAUUGUUUAAUUGAGUAUUAACGUGGUUGAACUGUUUUUGCUCC